UGGGGAAUAUUGGACAAUGGGCGCAAGCCUGAUCCAGCCAUGCCGCGUGUGUGAAGAAGGCCUUUUGGUUGUAAAGCACUUUAAGCGAGGAGGAGGCUACUUGGAUUAAUACUCUAGGAUAGUGGACGUUACUCGCAGAAUAAGCACCGGCUAACUCUGUGCCAGCAGCCGCGGUAAUACAGAGGGUGCGAGCGUUACUCGGAUUUACUGGGCGUAAAGCGUGCGUAGGCGGCUUUUUAAGUCGGAUGUGAAAUCCCUGAGCUUAACUUAGGAAUUGCAUUCGAUACUGGGAAGCUAGAGUAUGGGAGAGGAUGGUAGAAUUCCAGGUGUAGCGGUGAAAUGCGUAGAGAUCUGGAGGAAUACCGAUGGCGAAGGCAGCCAUCUGGCCUAAUACUGAAGCUGAGGUACGAAAGCAUGGGGAGCAAACAGG
RNAcentral lists this ribosomal RNA (430 nucleotides) under Acidobacteriota bacterium. RNAcentral describes it as "Acidobacteria bacterium partial 16S ribosomal RNA". It matches the Rfam family "Bacterial small subunit ribosomal RNA", at positions 355 to 776 of the family's 1533-position model. The record is from RNAcentral. Lineage: Bacteria; Pseudomonadati; Acidobacteriota.